This 541-nucleotide ribosomal RNA is filed under the name uncultured eukaryote. Its description in RNAcentral is "bacterial SSU rRNA". It matches the Rfam family "Eukaryotic small subunit ribosomal RNA", at positions 9 to 560 of the family's 1831-position model. The record is from RNAcentral.
UGAUCCUGCCAGUAGUCAUAUGCUUGUCUCAAAGAUUAAGCCAUGCAUGUCUAAGUGUAAGCUUUUAAAUGGCGAAACUGCGAAUGGCUCAUUAAAACAGUUAUUGUCUACUUGGUGGUUAUCAUAUGGAUAACUGUAGUAAUUCUAGAGCUAAUACAUGCACAAAUGCCCGACUUAUGGAGGGUAGCGUUUAUUAGAUACAAAACCAUCCUGGUUAACGCCAGAUUGUGGUGAGUCAUGGUAAAGAAGUAAAUCGAACGGACAUCCGUCGAUGCAUCAUCCGAGUUUCUGACCUAUCAGCUUCCGACGGUAGGGUAUUGGCCUACCGUGGCGUUGACGGGUAACGGAGAAUUAGGGUUCGAUUCCGGAGAGGGAGCCUGAGCGACGGCUACCACAUCUAAGGAAGGCAGCAGGCGCGCAAAUUACCCAAUCCUGACUCAGGGAGGUAGUGACAAGAAAUGACAACGUAGGGCUCUCAACGUCUUGCGAUUGUAAUGGGUCUAAUCUAAAACCCUUAAUGAGGAACAACUGGAGGGCAAGU